UACGUAGGGUGCAAGCGUUAAUCGGAAUUACUGGGCGUAAAGCGUGCGCAGGCGGUUUUGUAAGUCUGUUGUGAAAUCCCCGGGCUUAACCUGGGAAUGGCAAUGGAGACUGCAAGGCUGGAGUUUGGCAGAGGGGGGUAGAAUUCCACGUGUAGCAGUGAAAUGCGUAGAGAUGUGGAGGAACACCGAUGGCGAAGGCAGCCCCCUGGGUCAAAACUGACGCUCAUGCACGAAAGCGUGGGGAGCAAACAGG
This 253-nucleotide ribosomal RNA is filed under the name uncultured bacterium. Its description in RNAcentral is "partial 16S ribosomal RNA". It matches the Rfam family "Bacterial small subunit ribosomal RNA", at positions 524 to 776 of the family's 1533-position model. The record is from RNAcentral.